AUCGCUCAACGGUGGAACGGCCAUUGAUACUGUUAGACUUGAAUUAUUAGGAAGUAACUAGAAUAUGUAGUGUAGCGGUGAAAUGCUUAGAGAUUACAUGGAAUACCAAUUGCGAAGGCAGGUUACUACUAAUUGAUUGACGCUGAUGGACGAAAGCGUGGGUAGCGAACAGGAUUAGAUACCCUGGUAGUCCACGCCGUAAACGAUGGAUACUAGCUGUUGGAAGCAAUUUCAGUGGCUAAGCGAAAGUGAUAAGUAUCCCACCUGGGGAGUACGUUCGCAAGAAUGAAACUCAAAGGAAUUGACGGGGGCCCGCACAAGCGGUGGAGCAUGUGGUUUAAUUCGAUGAUACGCGAGGAACCUUACCAAGGCUUAAAUGUAGAUUGACCGGUUUGGAAACAGAUCUUUCGCAAGACAAUUUACAAGGUGCUGCAUGGUUGUCGUCAGCUCGUGCCGUGAGGUGUCAGGUUAAGUCCUAUAACGAGCGCAACCCCUGUUGUUAGUUGCCAGCGAGUCAUGUCGGGAACUCUAACAAGACUGCCAGUGCAAACUGUGAGGAAGGUGGGGAUGACGUCAAAUCAUCACGGCCCUUACGCCUUGGGCUACACACGUGCUACAAUGGCCGGUACAGAGAGCAGCCACUGGGCGACCAGGAGCGAAUCUAUAAAACCGGUCACAGUUCGGAUCGGAGUCUGCAACUCGACUUCGUGAAGCUGGAAUCGCUAGUAAUCGGAUAUCAGCCAUGAUCCGGUGAAUACGUUCCCGGGCCUUGUACACACCGCCCGUCAAGCCAUGGAAGCUGGGGGUGCCUGAAGUCGGGACCGCAAGGAGCUGCCAGGUAAACCGCCGCCCUUU
This 855-nucleotide ribosomal RNA is filed under the name Flavobacterium sp. U36-5. Its description in RNAcentral is "bacterial SSU rRNA". It matches the Rfam family "Bacterial small subunit ribosomal RNA", at positions 604 to 1476 of the family's 1533-position model. Lineage: Bacteria; Pseudomonadati; Bacteroidota; Flavobacteriia; Flavobacteriales; Flavobacteriaceae. The record is from RNAcentral.